CUGCGGAUGGAUCAUUUU
Molecule: unclassified non-coding RNA, 18 nt
Filed under: Dictyostelium discoideum
Lineage: Eukaryota; Evosea; Eumycetozoa; Dictyosteliales; Dictyosteliaceae
Source: RNAcentral